UAUUGCUUAAAUGAUGGUUUUGCUAUUUGUAAUUUACCUUACAACCUAAAAGAAAAAAUAAAAACAAAACACUGCUUGUAAACCUGUUGAUUUCGUCCUUGUCAUCUGAUGCAUAUUGUUUUGCUCUCUUUUGCAGGAGUUGUUGCAACCCAACCCUUUUCCAAGGGUGACAUCGUGUGUGAUGACCGUGGGAAGGUAAUCACAGCGGCCCAGGGAAAAGUCAUGAUGCAGAAUCUACAGGAUGAAGCACCAGAGUACCUGUUUUUCUU
This is a long non-coding RNA of Ictalurus punctatus (channel catfish), 269 nucleotides long. Lineage: Eukaryota; Metazoa; Chordata; Actinopteri; Siluriformes; Ictaluridae. The record is from Ensembl.